Molecule: small nuclear RNA, 109 nt
Organism: Sorex fumeus (smoky shrew)
Lineage: Eukaryota; Metazoa; Chordata; Mammalia; Eulipotyphla; Soricidae
Source: RefSeq, a predicted model, not a curated record
GGGCUCUCACUUCAGCAACACAUAUACUAAAAUUGGAACAACACAUAGAAAAUUAGCAGGGCAUCUGCUGAAGGAUGACGAGCAAAUUUGUGCAGUGUUCCAUAUAUUU